AGCUUAAGAAACCCAAUAUGUAGCCCAAUUAAUCUUUUUGUCUUCCCUUCUCAGCGUAUCCCUUCCUCUUCUUCUGACCAAAAAAGCCAACUCCAACCUUCAUCUUAACAUAACUCCUUCUCCACUUGGACCACUUCCAUUCUUCAAAGCUCUCUUUAUUUAGUGAUCCUCCAAUGGGGACGACCCUUCCAUUCCCUCAUCUGCACCAUAUAUAUUUUCUUAACUCGCCUCAUUUGCACAGAACCGUUGACAUGAACCACUCGAUUCGCUUUCUCACAAGUGAUCUUUUCUAGACGGAUAUUAGCUAUUGCAUCUAAUUAAUGGAGCCUUUUUAAUCAGGUUUCAUGCUUUGGAAGAGUUUGAUGAAGGAAACGUCUUGAUGGACACCAUCGUAGAAGACGGAAGCCUCAGCCCCGACCAUAUCGUUCCUCCUGCAAACUUCUUCCAAGGUUUUGUCUUACGUACACCGUAUUCGACCUCAUGUAACAUAACGAUAUGUGGAUUCUGCCAAUCUGAUAGGGCCAUUGGAGAAAUGCCAUAUCAAAUGUUGUCCAUGUGCAUAGCGCCUGUAUCGAAUGGUAUUACAAAAUUUUUAACUUUUUGCCAAUAUUUGUUUUUGAAAACCCCGUGUGUAGAAUUUGGCUAGAGUGUUACACCCUCUUUUGAAUGAUAAAAGUAUUAAAAGCAGUUGAAUGACUGAAAAUCAAGUGUAUAAAUGCAAUCUGAAAGGAGAAGCCUUUUUUUAGGGGAAAGCCUUAGUCUGCUGUGUCAAGUCUUUCUGAAUUCCUGCUGAGCUUUGUUCUCUUGAAUAAAAAACAGGAUAUUACAAAAGAUCUUAUUCUCUGUGAAUCAGCAGUCAUAGAGUGAUAAGGUCAGUACUAAGCAUCUUACCACAAGAGACAAGACAACCAAGAAACCCCAUCCUUUGUGGAUGUGUCUACUUUGGUUCAAAGUAUAUAUAAUAGAGCUUUUGCAAACAAAAAGACUAACCUUUGCAUUGCUUUGCUUUUCCAUAGUGAUGGAUCCAAUGCGACCAGAUAAAGGGACGAAAGCAAGUCUCAAAGCUUCUCAAACCUUCUCAUGAAGAACCAUUUGAGAUGCAUGUUGCCUCUCAAAGAUUUUGACGAUGGACCAAAAACUGGAAAAAUCAAAGCAGCAACUACUAACUCGGCCUCAAAAGAUCAAUUAACAGUGCAUGACUUCUUCAUCAAGCUUGAUAUCAUGUUGAAUCGGGCAAAGUUAAAAACCAGAACCACGCAUGUCUUCGCAAUUAUAUUGAGAAGAAAUUUUUAAAUCGUUGUUUGUGGACUGUUUGUAGAUCGCUGCCGGAGUUUCAGUUGAAAUCAUCGUAGACAUGAACGAUCCAGCUAACUUCGCAUUACUUCAGCAGGGCGAGUAAUCUGAUGUAUGCGUCAUCAUUUUGGAGAAUUUCGUAUUAACGAAGUCGUCAAGAUUAUGUAGGGAUGCAAGCAUGUUGUUUCGAGUAGAGUGAAUUGCUCAGUCUGCACUUUCGUAUCUCUAUUUCACAAUCUGAUUUAUCUAAUCUCUAUAUUUAAGACAUGUUUUUCGAUCAUAUGAUGACGGUACCUGUGAAUUCAUGUGGAGAAAUAAUCCUUCACUCAUUAAUUUGUAGGAGAACCCUUUUAAGAUUAUGUAUUUGUCUCUUAAAUUAAUGUUUCAAAUAA
This is a long non-coding RNA of Raphanus sativus (radish), 1685 nucleotides long. RefSeq lists it as uncharacterized. The record is from RefSeq and is a predicted model, not a curated record. The transcript has 7 exons. Lineage: Eukaryota; Viridiplantae; Streptophyta; Magnoliopsida; Brassicales; Brassicaceae.